ACUAAGUUGACAGAUGUCUCACCACUAACGCAUAGUUCUGAGUACGUUCACAUGACGCACUCUACUUCUAGUAAAA
Molecule: long non-coding RNA, 76 nt
Organism: Maniola jurtina (meadow brown)
Lineage: Eukaryota; Metazoa; Arthropoda; Insecta; Lepidoptera; Nymphalidae
Exons: 3
Source: RefSeq, a predicted model, not a curated record